GCGCGGGAGGCUGUCGGCCAGAGUCCCCGCCACGCUGCCUGCCGGCGUCGCGUUGGGGCCGAGGACACACCCCCUGGGGCCCGGUUAGGGCUCUGUCCUCCGGCGCCCCUUUCCCCGUUAUGGCAAUGGCUUCUCGCUGCCGAAAUAGCGAAGCUAGCCUUUGGGCUGGGAGCGUGCUGGCUCCUCCUAACUUGUAGGGCUGUUUGUGCGUGACCUUGGGCAGGGUGCAAACAGAGGUGACAGAGAGGGACCAGUUCUCAUCCUGGAGUCCCUGUAUCUCCCGAGCUUCCUUCUUUGGUUUUCUCUUGGCUCACGCUCAAAGGUGAUUCCCUCCGAACCCAGAGCACCUGCUUUGUUGCAUACAAAGCUACCUCUGUCUGUCCUGGGCCUGGAUCUACCUUGGGGUCGAAAAGAAAGGCCUUUUAAGUGGGUGCAUGUGCAGAGGAGAGUUAUGGUCCCGAAAGACUCACCAGAUUGCCAGUAGAGACCGUCUUCUUUCCCUAAAGCUUCCUUUCCUCCCCUCCCCCAAUGCUUUCAGAGUAGAUUAACUAAUUACCUCCAAUUAAAGCGGCUUGAUCUCUGUUCCUCCUGGGCUUCAACACUGCCCCUAGGACUCUUCCUAGGCAGCCUCGGUCUGAAAGGGGACCUGGCCACUUAGGUGGAUCAGUGAAUCAGUUACAUAAUGCAGAGGGCCACAAAGGAAGCCCACCGGGUCAUGUGCUUCACGGGGAGUGGUGCAGCCGAGCCUAGUUCUCUGACUCUGUCGGGUUUCAGGCCCUAAUGGGUCUGUUGGCGUCAGGAGCUGUCUUCUUUGGAGCCCUUCCCUAAGUGUAUCUGUAGGACUUUGUUCUUUCCGGCACUUCGUACUGGCCAGCAGAGGGCGCUACCCAAGGACUGAGGACACCAGGGAAGAGCUCACUGAGUGCAGGCUGGCCUGUCUCCACCAGCGGACUGGAAGAUCUAAUGGAAACCAGGAAGGAAUGGUGUUUGUGUUGGCAUCCAUGGGCCCUGUAGCCCUGCCAACUCCCACAGCAUGUGACAUUGUCAGGGGACUGGAGGUGUGAAGCAGAAGUCACCCGGAGAGGAUCAUGCUGCUGCCUGCUUCCAGUCACAUCAUAUGACCCUCUGCGGAUCGAGAGCUGAGAGCUUCCUCCCCACCGGCCCUUCCCCGGCACUGGCUCCACAUCUCCAGGAGUAGCAGCAUCGGAGUCUACUGAGCAGAGCCGAUCUCCCUCUGCCUGGCUUUCGGAAACUGAGGUCCCUACCUCCUGCGGCUGGACUCAUCUCCAAGCUUCAGUGUCUCUCUCCCGUCCUGUUCAUCAGCCUGGCUCUCGCUACCCUCACCUCAGAGCAGGCAGGGUCUCAAUAGGGUGAGCUGCUCAGGGGGCAUCUCCACUCUUGCCAGGCAAUCAUCUCUCUUGCAGCCCCUCCCCUGCUGCCGACUGUUCUUCAGGGAGAAGGCUCGCUGGCAGGGUGGCAGGCUGCCCACCAAUGGGGGCCAUGCCAAGUGUGAUGUGAUGUGUGCUGAUCCCUCUCCAUGCCUUGCCGAAGACCAGGGCUGAUGCACCCGCAGGCUGGGGAGCCUGGGCUGUUCUCUCAUCAUCACCCUGGGGGGGAGGAUGUCACAGUGAAUAGAGGGCUCCCUUGUGUUAUAGGUGGAAAGGCCAUUCCGAAAGUCUCUCCUAGACCCCUUAUGUCUGGUCUUGUGCCCCCAGUUUAUGGGGGCUCUGAGCACUAUUCAGGGUGUCAUAUUAGUUGUAACCCCAGUGGGAAUGGAGGGGCCGUGAGUGGCAGAACCUCCCACCCCAGCAUACUAAAGAUAUUUUCCUGUAUCCCCUGCCUAACUCUGUCUGUUGAAGUCUCAGGCUCCAGGAGAGAGCGUGAGGGGUUUGAGGGACAGAAGGAGAAACGGGCAGUGUUAAGCACAGCACCAGUACAGUUUGAAGAGUUCCUUUCUGUUCCCUUUCUGACAGGCCUGUCUGUGACGGGCUGUGCCAGGCAAGAGGAAGGCUGAGGACCUGGGGUAGCCCAUCAUUCUCAGAUAUAAUAAAUUCUUGAGAUUAUCAUGCA
RNAcentral lists this small RNA (2070 nucleotides) under Rattus norvegicus (Norway rat). RNAcentral's name for it is "uncharacterized LOC102550363". Lineage: Eukaryota; Metazoa; Chordata; Mammalia; Rodentia; Muridae. The record is from RNAcentral.